CGAAGAGCCCGGCGCGGUCGCUCCACGUUCGCGUGGAGAGGAAAGUCCGGACUCCAACGGGUGGCAUGCUCGCCAACGGCGAGGCGCAGUGAUGCGACGGAAAGUGCAACAGAAAACAGACCGCCCCGCCUUCGGGCGAGGUAAGGGUGAAACGGCGCGGUAAGAGCGCACCGCCCGGCCGGCGACGGUCCGGGGCAAGGCAAACCCCAUGCGGAGCAAGACCAAAUAGGGGGAUGGCAGUGCGGGCCGCCCGUCCCGCCCGUUCCGGUUCGCCGGGACGACUUCCCCGGGUAGGUUGCUCGAGGCCGGCGGCAACGCCGGUCCCAGAGGAAUGACCGUGACCGGCAUCGCGAGAUGACGGCACAGAACUCGGCUUAUCGGGCUCUUCGACCC
Molecule: RNase P RNA, 393 nt
Filed under: Thermoanaerobaculia bacterium
Lineage: Bacteria; Pseudomonadati; Acidobacteriota; Thermoanaerobaculia
Description: RNase P RNA component class A
Rfam family: Bacterial RNase P class A
About the family: Ribonuclease P (RNase P) is a ubiquitous endoribonuclease, found in archaea, bacteria and eukarya as well as chloroplasts and mitochondria. Its best characterised activity is the generation of mature 5'-ends of tRNAs by cleaving the 5'-leader elements of precursor-tRNAs. Cellular RNase Ps are ribonucleoproteins.
Source: RNAcentral